CGCAUCUGUGCAUGCAGCAUAUCAAUAAGCGGAGGAAAAGAAACUAACAAGGAUUCCCCUAGUAACGGCGAGUGAAGCGGGAAGAGCUCAAAUUUGAAAUCUUAAAGGGUUUCCCUUUACGAAUUGUAGUUUAAAGAAGUGUUUUCUGUUGAGGUUUUGGUAAAAGUUCUUUGGAAUAGGACAUCAUAGAGGGUGAGAAUCCCGUAUUUGACCUUUACUUUCAACUUUGUGAUACACUUUCAAAGAGUCGGAUUGUUUGGGAAUGCAGUCCAAAAUGGGUGGUAAAUUUCAUCUAAAGCUAAAUAUUGGCGAGAGACCGAUAGCGAACAAGUACCGUGAGGGAAAGAUGAAAAGAACUUUGAAAAGAGAGUUAAACAGUACGUGAAAUUGUCAAGAGGGAAGCGUUUGACACCAGUGUUGUUUUUCUGAAAAUCAAUUAAAGAACUGUUUAUGCUAAGUUGUUUAGACUUUAUCAGCUAACUGUUUAGUUUUGAGCUUUCUUUAAUGCACUUUUCAGUUAACAAGUCAACAUCAAUUUCUUCUGCUGUAAAAAAGCUUGAGGAAGGUGGCUUGAGAUUCGUCUUAAGUGUUUAUAGCCUCUUGCCUAUGCAGUCGGAGAGAUUGAGGUCUGCAGCGUAGAUCCUUCGGGGCUAAAUGCAUUUGUGCUAAGUUAUAACAUUUUAUAGACAACUUGUUGACUAUGAUUUGUCUUGUAGCUUACUCGCUUAUGUUAUUUUACCUACGCUUAGGAUGUUGAACGCGCACAGAGUCUC
RNAcentral lists this ribosomal RNA (773 nucleotides) under uncultured Neocallimastigales. RNAcentral's name for it is "partial large subunit ribosomal RNA". It matches the Rfam family "Eukaryotic large subunit ribosomal RNA", at positions 26 to 614 of the family's 3401-position model. The record is from RNAcentral. Lineage: Eukaryota; Fungi; Neocallimastigomycota; Neocallimastigomycetes; Neocallimastigales.